CCCUUCGAUGUUCUGGGCUGCACGCGCGCUACAAUGACAAUGUCAGCGAGUUUUAAAUUUAUAUUCGCUUGUGCGAAAGCACUGGCAAAUCUUGUGAAACGUUGUCGUACUAUGGAUUGCUGAUUGCAAUUAUUCGGCAUGAAACAGGAAUACCUAGUAGGUGUGGUUCAUCAGACUGCGCCGAUUACGUCCCUGCCCUUUGUACACACCGCCCGUCGCUCCUACCGAUUGAGUGGUCCGGUGAGGCUUUGGGAUCUGAGCGGAAAGAGCGUUUCGCUGUUUCUGCUCGGAAAACUCAGUCGAACCUUAUCAUUUAGAGGAAGGAGAAGUCGUAACA
Molecule: ribosomal RNA, 337 nt
Filed under: uncultured eukaryote
Lineage: Eukaryota
Description: partial 18S ribosomal RNA
Rfam family: Eukaryotic small subunit ribosomal RNA
Source: RNAcentral